Molecule: ribosomal RNA, 2792 nt
Filed under: Escherichia coli
Lineage: Bacteria; Pseudomonadati; Pseudomonadota; Gammaproteobacteria; Enterobacterales; Enterobacteriaceae
Description: partial 23S ribosomal RNA
Rfam family: Bacterial large subunit ribosomal RNA
Source: RNAcentral
GGUUAAGCGACUAAGCGUACACGGUGGAUGCCCUGGCAGUCAGAGGCGAUGAAGGACGUGCUAAUCUGCGAUAAGCGUCGGUAAGGUGAUAUGAACCGUUAUAACCGGCGAUUUCCGAAUGGGGAAACCCAGUGUGUUUCGACACACUAUCAUUAACUGAAUCCAUAGGUUAAUGAGGCGAACCGGGGGAACUGAAACAUCUAAGUACCCCGAGGAAAAGAAAUCAACCGAGAUUCCCCCAGUAGCGGCGAGCGAACGGGGAGCAGCCCAGAGCCUGAAUCAGUGUGUGUGUUAGUGGAAGCGUCUGGAAAGGCGCGCGAUACAGGGUGACAGCCCCGUACACAAAAAUGCACAUGCUGUGAGCUCGAUGAGUAGGGCGGGACACGUGGUAUCCUGUCUGAAUAUGGGGGGACCAUCCUCCAAGGCUAAAUACUCCUGACUGACCGAUAGUGAACCAGUACCGUGAGGGAAAGGCGAAAAGAACCCCGGCGAGGGGAGUGAAAAAGAACCUGAAACCGUGUACGUACAAGCAGUGGGAGCACGCUUAGGCGUGUGACUGCGUACCUUUUGUAUAAUGGGUCAGCGACUUAUAUUCUGUAGCAAGGUUAACCGAAUAGGGGAGCCGAAGGGAAACCGAGUCUUAACUGGGCGUUAAGUUGCAGGGUAUAGACCCGAAACCCGGUGAUCUAGCCAUGGGCAGGUUGAAGGUUGGGUAACACUAACUGGAGGACCGAACCGACUAAUGUUGAAAAAUUAGCGGAUGACUUGUGGCUGGGGGUGAAAGGCCAAUCAAACCGGGAGAUAGCUGGUUCUCCCCGAAAGCUAUUUAGGUAGCGCCUCGUGAAUUCAUCUCCGGGGGUAGAGCACUGUUUCGGCAAGGGGGUCAUCCCGACUUACCAACCCGAUGCAAACUGCGAAUACCGGAGAAUGUUAUCACGGGAGACACACGGCGGGUGCUAACGUCCGUCGUGAAGAGGGAAACAACCCAGACCGCCAGCUAAGGUCCCAAAGUCAUGGUUAAGUGGGAAACGAUGUGGGAAGGCCCAGACAGCCAGGAUGUUGGCUUAGAAGCAGCCAUCAUUUAAAGAAAGCGUAAUAGCUCACUGGUCGAGUCGGCCUGCGCGGAAGAUGUAACGGGGCUAAACCAUGCACCGAAGCUGCGGCAGCGACACUAUGUGUUGUUGGGUAGGGGAGCGUUCUGUAAGCCUGUGAAGGUGUGCUGUGAGGCAUGCUGGAGGUAUCAGAAGUGCGAAUGCUGACAUAAGUAACGAUAAAGCGGGUGAAAAGCCCGCUCGCCGGAAGACCAAGGGUUCCUGUCCAACGUUAAUCGGGGCAGGGUGAGUCGACCCCUAAGGCGAGGCCGAAAGGCGUAGUCGAUGGGAAACAGGUUAAUAUUCCUGUACUUGGUGUUACUGCGAAGGGGGGACGGAGAAGGCUAUGUUGGCCGGGCGACGGUUGUCCCGGUUUAAGCGUGUAGGCUGGUUUUCCAGGCAAAUCCGGAAAAUCAAGGCUGAGGCGUGAUGACGAGGCACUACGGUGCUGAAGCAACAAAUGCCCUGCUUCCAGGAAAAGCCUCUAAGCAUCAGGUAACAUCAAAUCGUACCCCAAACCGACACAGGUGGUCAGGUAGAGAAUACCAAGGCGCUUGAGAGAACUCGGGUGAAGGAACUAGGCAAAAUGGUGCCGUAACUUCGGGAGAAGGCACGCUGAUAUGUAGGUGAAGUCCCUCGCGGAUGGAGCUGAAAUCAGUCGAAGAUACCAGCUGGCUGCAACUGUUUAUUAAAAACACAGCACUGUGCAAACACGAAAGUGGACGUAUACGGUGUGACGCCUGCCCGGUGCCGGAAGGUUAAUUGAUGGGGUUAGCGCAAGCGAAGCUCUUGAUCGAAGCCCCGGUAAACGGCGGCCGUAACUAUAACGGUCCUAAGGUAGCGAAAUUCCUUGUCGGGUAAGUUCCGACCUGCACGAAUGGCGUAAUGAUGGCCAGGCUGUCUCCACCCGAGACUCAGUGAAAUUGAACUCGCUGUGAAGAUGCAGUGUACCCGCGGCAAGACGGAAAGACCCCGUGAACCUUUACUAUAGCUUGACACUGAACAUUGAGCCUUGAUGUGUAGGAUAGGUGGGAGGCUUUGAAGUGUGGACGCCAGUCUGCAUGGAGCCGACCUUGAAAUACCACCCUUUAAUGUUUGAUGUUCUAACGUGGACCCGUGAUCCGGGUUGCGGACAGUGUCUGGUGGGUAGUUUGACUGGGGCGGUCUCCUCCUAAAGAGUAACGGAGGAGCACGAAGGUUGGCUAAUCCUGGUCGGACAUCAGGAGGUUAGUGCAAUGGCAUAAGCCAGCUUGACUGCGAGCGUGACGGCGCGAGCAGGUGCGAAAGCAGGUCAUAGUGAUCCGGUGGUUCUGAAUGGAAGGGCCAUCGCUCAACGGAUAAAAGGUACUCCGGGGAUAACAGGCUGAUACCGCCCAAGAGUUCAUAUCGACGGCGGUGUUUGGCACCUCGAUGUCGGCUCAUCACAUCCUGGGGCUGAAGUAGGUCCCAAGGGUAUGGCUGUUCGCCAUUUAAAGUGGUACGCGAGCUGGGUUUAGAACGUCGUGAGACAGUUCGGUCCCUAUCUGCCGUGGGCGCUGGAGAACUGAGGGGGGCUGCUCCUAGUACGAGAGGACCGGAGUGGACGCAUCACUGGUGUUCGGGUUGUCAUGCCAAUGGCACUGCCCGGUAGCUAAAUGCGGAAGAGAUAAGUGCUGAAAGCAUCUAAGCACGAAACUUGCCCCGAGAUGAGUUCUCCCUGAC